RNAcentral lists this unclassified non-coding RNA (1221 nucleotides) under Hevea brasiliensis (rubber tree). The record is from RNAcentral. Lineage: Eukaryota; Viridiplantae; Streptophyta; Magnoliopsida; Malpighiales; Euphorbiaceae.
GGUCUUCUGGUUAAAUGUUUCAUGGCUCUCCACAGUGAUAUUUUUGAAAAAUAUGUGAAGAAUUGGAUUGCAAUAGCUGCACCAUUCCAAGGUGCUCCUGGAUAUAUUACCUCUUCAUUAUUGAACGGAACAUCAUUUGUGCAUGGAUGGGAAGAGAGGUUUUUCAUAUCCAAAUGGAGUAUGCAUCAACUGUUGAUCGAGUGUCCGUCAAUAUAUGAAUUAAUGGGGUGUCCUGAUUUCCACUGGGAGCAUGCACCAGUUCUAGAAAUUUGGAAGGAAAAAUCUAACAGUAAUGGAGAGUCCUCCGUUGUACUCGAGUCUUACUCUCCACUGGAAGCUGUAUCAGUGUAUGAGUUAGCUCUUGCAAACAACAAGGUUACUUAUAAUGGAGAAAAAAUUUCUCUGCCGUUCAAUCUGGAACUCUUGAAAUGGGCUAAUAAGACCCGAGAGAUAUUGUGCCAUGCAAAGGUUCCUGAUAAAGUUAAGUUCUACAACAUCUAUGGGACCAAUUAUGAGACGCCUCAUAGUGUCUGUUAUGGAAGUCAGAAUGCACCCAUUUCUGAUCUUCAACAAUUACCAUUUGUCCAGUCUAACUACAUAUCGGUUGAUGGAGAUGGUACAGUUCCAACAGAAUCUGCAAAGGCUGAUGGGCUUAAAGCAGAAGCUAGGGUUGGAGUCCCUGGGGAUCACAGAGGAAUCGUCUGUGACCGCCACGUGUUUAGAGUGAUCAAGCACUGGUUGCGAGCAGAUCAUGAUCCUUAUUACAAUCCAAUCAACGAUUACGUUAUCCUACCCACUUCAUUUGACAUCGAAAGGCACCAUGAGAAAGGUUUGGAUGUAACUUCUCUCAGAGAGGAGUGGGAAAUUGUUUCAGAAAGCCAGGAUGGCAAAGAGAAUGCGGAUAGCGGAAAGACAAAGGUGGGUUCUAUAUCUGUCUCUCAUGUUGGAGAUGACAAUACUACGUGGGAAGAAGCCCAUGCGACUCUUAUUGUCCACCCUAAAAGUGAAGGUAAGCAACAUGUAGAGUUGAAUGCCAUGUCUGUUUCUGCAAGGGCUUGAAACUUAUAUUACCAUAUGGUCAAAGGGGCUUUAUUGUUUUAUAUCCAUCUGUCUAUUCCUCCUGAUUUCUUCUGUAUAUAGAAAGUAAUUGUGCUCCUGAACAGAACCAUGUAUGUAUGUAUAUAUAUGUGCAUAUUAACGUUAUCAAGUAUGUGAUGUGGA